GGUUAAGCGACUAAGCGUACACGGUGGAUGCCCUGGCAGUCAGAGGCGAUGAAGGACGUGCUAAUCUGCGAUAAGCGUCGGUAAGGUGAUAUGAACCGUUAUAACCGGCGAUUUCCGAAUGGGGAAACCCAGUGUGUUUCGACACACUAUCAUUAACUGAAUCCAUAGGUUAAUGAGGCGAACCGGGGGAACUGAAACAUCUAAGUACCCCGAGGAAAAGAAAUCAACCGAGAUUCCCCCAGUAGCGGCGAGCGAACGGGGAGCAGCCCAGAGCCUGAAUCAGUGUGUGUGUUAGUGGAAGCGUCUGGAAAGGCGCGCGAUACAGGGUGACAGCCCCGUACACAAAAAUGCACAUGCUGUGAGCUCGAUGAGUAGGGCGGGACACGUGGUAUCCUGUCUGAAUAUGGGGGGGCCAUCCUCCAAGGCUAAAUACUCCUGACUGACCGAUAGUGAACCAGUACCGUGAGGGAAAGGCGAAAAGAACCCCGGCGAGGGGAGUGAAAAAGAACCUGAAACCGUGUACGUACAAGCAGUGGGAGCACGCUUAGGCGUGUGACUGCGUACCUUUUGUAUAAUGGGUCAGCGACUUAUAUUCUGUAGCAAGGUUAACCGAAUAGGGGAGCCGAAGGGAAACCGAGUCUUAACUGGGCGUUAAGUUGCAGGGUAUAGACCCGAAACCCGGUGAUCUAGCCAUGGGCAGGUUGAAGGUUGGGUAACACUAACUGGAGGACCGAACCGACUAAUGUUGAAAAAUUAGCGGAUGACUUGUGGCUGGGGGUGAAAGGCCAAUCAAACCGGGAGAUAGCUGGUUCUCCCCGAAAGCUAUUUAGGUAGCGCCUCGUGAAUUCAUCUCCGGGGGUAGAGCACUGUUUCGGCAAGGGGGUCAUCCCGACUUACCAACCCGAUGCAAACUGCGAAUACCGGAGAAUGUUAUCACGGGAGACACACGGCGGGUGCUAACGUCCGUCGUGAAGAGGGAAACAACCCAGACCGCCAGCUAAGGUCCCAAAGUCAUGGUUAAGUGGGAAACGAUGUGGGAAGGCCCAGACAGCCAGGAUGUUGGCUUAGAAGCAGCCAUCAUUUAAAGAAAGCGUAAUAGCUCACUGGUCGAGUCGGCCUGCGCGGAAGAUGUAACGGGGCUAAACCAUGCACCGAAGCUGCGGCAGCGACGCUGAUGCGUUGUUGGGUAGGGGAGCGUUCUGUAAGCCUGCGAAGGUGUGCUGUGAGGCAUGCUGGAGGUAUCAGAAGUGCGAAUGCUGACAUAAGUAACGAUAAAGCGGGUGAAAAGCCCGCUCGCCGGAAGACCAAGGGUUCCUGUCCAACGUUAAUCGGGGCAGGGUGAGUCGACCCCUAAGGCGAGGCCGAAAGGCGUAGUCGAUGGGAAACAGGUUAAUAUUCCUGUACUUGGUGUUACUGCGAAGGGGGGACGGAGAAGGCUAUGUUGGCCGGGCGACGGUUGUCCCGGUUUAAGCGUGUAGGCUGGUUUUCCAGGCAAAUCCGGAAAAUCAAGGCUGAGGCGUGAUGACGAGGCACUACGGUGCUGAAGCAACAAAUGCCCUGCUUCCAGGAAAAGCCUCUAAGCAUCAGGUAACAUCAAAUCGUACCCCAAACCGACACAGGUGGUCAGGUAGAGAAUACCAAGGCGCUUGAGAGAACUCGGGUGAAGGAACUAGGCAAAAUGGUGCCGUAACUUCGGGAGAAGGCACGCUGAUAUGUAGGUGAAGUCCCUCGCGGAUGGAGCUGAAAUCAGUCGAAGAUACCAGCUGGCUGCAACUGUUUAUUAAAAACACAGCACUGUGCAAACACGAAAGUGGACGUAUACGGUGUGACGCCUGCCCGGUGCCGGAAGGUUAAUUGAUGGGGUUAGCCGCAAGGCGAAGCUCUUGAUCGAAGCCCCGGUAAACGGCGGCCGUAACUAUAACGGUCCUAAGGUAGCGAAAUUCCUUGUCGGGUAAGUUCCGACCUGCACGAAUGGCGUAAUGAUGGCCAGGCUGUCUCCACCCGAGACUCAGUGAAAUUGAACUCGCUGUGAAGAUGCAGUGUACCCGCGGCAAGACGGAAAGACCCCGUGAACCUUUACUAUAGCUUGACACUGAACAUUGAGCCUUGAUGUGUAGGAUAGGUGGGAGGCUUAGAAGUGUGGACGCCAGUCUGCAUGGAGCCGACCUUGAAAUACCACCCUUUAAUGUUUGAUGUUCUAACGUUGACCCGUAAUCCGGGUUGCGGACAGUGUCUGGUGGGUAGUUUGACUGGGGCGGUCUCCUCCUAAAGAGUAACGGAGGAGCACGAAGGUUGGCUAAUCCUGGUCGGACAUCAGGAGGUUAGUGCAAUGGCAUAAGCCAGCUUGACUGCGAGCGUGACGGCGCGAGCAGGUGCGAAAGCAGGUCAUAGUGAUCCGGUGGUUCUGAAUGGAAGGGCCAUCGCUCAACGGAUAAAAGGUACUCCGGGGAUAACAGGCUGAUACCGCCCAAGAGUUCAUAUCGACGGCGGUGUUUGGCACCUCGAUGUCGGCUCAUCACAUCCUGGGGCUGAAGUAGGUCCCAAGGGUAUGGCUGUUCGCCAUUUAAAGUGGUACGCGAGCUGGGUUUAGAACGUCGUGAGACAGUUCGGUCCCUAUCUGCCGUGGGCGCUGGAGAACUGAGGGGGGCUGCUCCUAGUACGAGAGGACCGGAGUGGACGCAUCACUGGUGUUCGGGUUGUCAUGCCAAUGGCACUGCCCGGUAGCUAAAUGCGGAAGAGAUAAGUGCUGAAAGCAUCUAAGCACGAAACUUGCCCCGAGAUGAGUUCUCCCUGAC
RNAcentral lists this ribosomal RNA (2795 nucleotides) under Escherichia coli. Its description in RNAcentral is "partial 23S ribosomal RNA". It matches the Rfam family "Bacterial large subunit ribosomal RNA". The record is from RNAcentral. Lineage: Bacteria; Pseudomonadati; Pseudomonadota; Gammaproteobacteria; Enterobacterales; Enterobacteriaceae.